Acanthosepion pharaonis is the source of this 113-nucleotide non-coding RNA. NCBI's taxonomy places the organism in Eukaryota, Metazoa, Mollusca, Cephalopoda, Sepiida, Sepiidae. The record is from the annotation of a GenBank genome assembly.
UACGGCCACAUCACGUUGAAACAUUUGUUCCCGUAUGAUCAGCGAAGUUAAGCAACGUUGAGUCUGUUCAGUACUUAGAUGAGUGAAUUCUUGGGAAUACCAGGUCCUGCAAG